AAGACCCCAAUGCGUCGCGGAUGCGGCGUCUC
Molecule: ribosomal RNA, 32 nt
Filed under: Ziziphus mauritiana (Indian jujube)
Lineage: Eukaryota; Viridiplantae; Streptophyta; Magnoliopsida; Rosales; Rhamnaceae
Description: partial 28S ribosomal RNA
Source: RNAcentral